GAUGAACGCUGGCGGCGUGCCUAAUACAUGCAAGUCGAGCGAACAGAUAAGGAGCUUGCUCCUUUGACGUUAGCGGCGGACGGGUGAGUAACACGUGGAUAACCUACCUAUAAGACUGGGAUAACUUCGGGAAACCGGAGCUAAUACCGGAUAACAUAUUGAACCGCAUGGUUCAAUAGUGAAAGGCGGCUUUGCUGUCACUUAUAGAUGGAUCCGCGCCGUAUUAGCUAGUUGGUAAGGUAACGGCUUACCAAGGCAACGAUACGUAGCCGACCUGAGAGGGUGAUCGGCCACACUGGAACUGAGACACGGUCCAGACUCCUACGGGAGGCAGCAGUAGGGAAUCUUCCGCAAUGGGCGAAAGCCUGACGGAGCAACGCCGCGUGAGUGAUGAAGGUCUUCGGAUCGUAAAACUCUGUUAUCAGGGAAGAACAAAUGUGUAAGUAAUUGUGCACAUCUUGACGGUACCUGAUCAGAAAGCCACGGCUAACUACGUG
Molecule: ribosomal RNA, 497 nt
Filed under: uncultured bacterium
Lineage: Bacteria
Description: partial 16S ribosomal RNA
Rfam family: Bacterial small subunit ribosomal RNA
Source: RNAcentral